RNAcentral lists this unclassified non-coding RNA (352 nucleotides) under soil metagenome. RNAcentral describes it as "partial contains 5.8S ribosomal RNA, internal transcribed spacer 2, and large subunit ribosomal RNA". The stretch from base 1 to 120 matches the Rfam family "5.8S ribosomal RNA", at positions 35 to 154 of the family's 154-position model. The record is from RNAcentral.
GAUGAAGAACGCAGCGAAAUGCGAUAAGUAAUGUGAAUUGCAGAAUUCAGUGAAUCAUCGAAUCUUUGAACGCACAUUGCGCCCGCCAGUAUUCUGGCGGGCAUGCCUGUUCGAGCGUCAUUACAACCCUCAGGCCCCCGGGCCUGGCGUUGGGGAUCGGCGGAAGCCCCCUGUGGGCACACGCCGUCCCUCAAAUACAGUGGCGGUCCCGCCGCAGCUUCCAUUGCGUAGUAGCUAACACCUCGCAACUGGAGAGCGGCGCGGCCAUGCCGUAAAACACCCAACUUCUGAAUGUUGACCUCGAAUCAGGUAGGAAUAACCGCUGAACUUAAGCAUAUCAAUAAGCGGAGGA